UGGAUCGAUGAUGAGUCCCCUAUAAAAACAUUCCUUGGAAAAGCUGAACAAAAUGAGUGAGAACUCAUAACGUCAUUCUCAUCGGAACUGAGGUCCA
Molecule: small nucleolar RNA, 97 nt
Filed under: Homo sapiens (human)
Lineage: Eukaryota; Metazoa; Chordata; Mammalia; Primates; Hominidae
Description: small nucleolar RNA, C/D box 116-1 (SNORD116-1)
Rfam family: Small nucleolar RNA SNORD116
About the family: HBII-85 is a member of the C/D class of snoRNAs, which contain the C (UGAUGA) and D (CUGA) box motifs.
Source: RNAcentral